Paramisgurnus dabryanus is the source of this 323-nucleotide non-coding RNA. NCBI's taxonomy places the organism in Eukaryota, Metazoa, Chordata, Actinopteri, Cypriniformes, Cobitidae. The record is from RefSeq and is a predicted model, not a curated record.
AAGUGUUAUGUUUUUAAAUGCCACUAAUAAUGUGUUUCUGUUUUCUUUCUCAUUAUGCUAACAAACACUCUUUUACCCCUCAUGUUAGGUAGAUCAACACUCCAACCAUCUGCAUUAGGGACUGAAUAAAGGAUGCCCUCUGUAGCUGGGAAUGUUAGAUCAGGCGGAUCAACAUUCCAUCCAUCUGCAUUAGGAUCUACCUUAGAGACACUCACUGGAGCUGUAAAUGGGAAGCAGGUCACUUACUUUGCAUUCGUCCUUGGUGGUCACCCCAGGGUCUCUAGAGUGAAAAUUACUCAAUCUAUGGAUUAAACAGAAAAUGU